GUCUACGGCCAUACCACCCUGAACGCACGAGAUCUCAUCUGAUCUCGGAAGCUAAGCCAGGUUGGACCUGGUUAGUCCUUGGAUGAGAGAUCGCCUGGGAAUACCGGGUGCUGUGGACU
Macaca mulatta (Rhesus monkey) is the source of this 119-nucleotide ribosomal RNA. Lineage: Eukaryota; Metazoa; Chordata; Mammalia; Primates; Cercopithecidae. The record is from Ensembl.